RNAcentral lists this small nuclear RNA (107 nucleotides) under Neotoma lepida (desert woodrat). Lineage: Eukaryota; Metazoa; Chordata; Mammalia; Rodentia; Cricetidae. The record is from RNAcentral.
GUGCUCGCUAAGGCAACACAUAUAUUAAAAUAGGAACAAUACGGAGAAGAUUAGCUUGGCCCCUGUGCAAGGAUGACACUCAAAUUCAUGAAGUGCUCCAUAUUUGU